Herpailurus yagouaroundi (jaguarundi) is the source of this 1832-nucleotide long non-coding RNA. RefSeq lists it as uncharacterized. The transcript has 2 exons. NCBI's taxonomy places the organism in Eukaryota, Metazoa, Chordata, Mammalia, Carnivora, Felidae. The record is from RefSeq and is a predicted model, not a curated record.
UCUCUCUCUCUCUCUCUCUCCCUCCACUGCUGCCUCAAAGUGAAGGUACCAAUUUGCCCCAUGGUAUCACACUAACAGAAAGAAAAGCCUUGAGUUGCACCUGAUUUUUCCUGUGUUCUUAUAAUCUCAGGAGUUGUGUGUUUGUCUGUACCUUUCAGGCCACGUGGAUGUGGAGGGUGUUGAGCCCUGCUAUGAGAUCAUUGACAGAAAUGUUUGUGUGUGAUUAUUAUGUAGUAAGUGUAAAAUGCAUAGCAAGUGCUUCUUUAAUUAUUUGAUUUCUUAAAUACAGCUCGUUUUGAGUGCUUCAUAGAUGUCUAAUUACAGGGGGGUGUCAUGACCGAGAGCCCCAGACACUGAACUCUGAAAUCCACCAUGUUUGCUCUGAGGGCACACCUCCCACCUGCUGCUCCCAGCCGGGAGGCUGAGUGUGGCCGGCCUGCCCCAGGGAGACUGGGAGCCCUCUAGUGGUAGGCUUGGGCUUAAGGAGUCCCCCCUCCUUUCUUGGUCUUGACCAGGCUUCCUUAUCCUGCUUGGCAGGGGGGGCGGUCAGGAAUACCUCCAUUGUCUCUUCCUUUCCCUUCGAUUUCAUGUGGAGCCAGUCUUCCCCUCUUCUCUCACUGGUAUGGAGCCCAAACGAAAUCUUUGCAUAUUUAACUCUGUCUUGGUGCCCAUCCUCAAGAGAACCAUACGAACAGAUUGACGUUGAUUCAAAGCACAGCUUUGCAAGGCAAAGAACUAUGUGUUUGGUAUGUUACAUUUUAGGUCGUAAAGGGGGAGGAAAUAAGUUUAUACAUUUGGGUUAGCUGAUAGAGGCACCCAGAACUCUCAAGGAUACACAAAAAAUUAGUAACAGUGAUAGCCUGUGUGAGGUUUUGGGGAUGAAUGGGGAUAAGAACUGGGAGAGAAACUUUUCAAGGUAUACCUUACAUAUUUUCUUGAGUUUUCAAGCAAAUAAAUGUGUAACAAUUUGAAAAUGUAAAAUCAAAUGUUUUCAUUAAAAAAAUACAUGAAUUUGAGAGAAAAACAAAGCAUGACUUUUGGAGAUGGAUCUGAGCUGGAGUCCCUUAUCAGCUAGUGAUCUUGGGAAAAUAACCAGUCUUGGGUGGGUAACCGAGCUAUUGGAUUCUAGAUGUCAGUGAGUUAUCUUUCUCCUUGAAUUCGAUAACCUCAUUCGCCAGAUCCCAAGAAGGCAUACACUGCCCACUGGAUUGCCACUGGGCUUGGCCAUUGAAAUUGCUGGGGCUAGGGGACCAUGAGGCCGAGAGCUAGUGAGCCUGAGAAGAUUUCAAGAACCAGUGCACUGAGCAGACCAAACUCUCCCUUCCCUCCGCCAGUCUGGUGAGAAUGACCAGAGGAAGCUAUCAUACAGUAUUCAGACCACCUGCGCUAGACAUCUGGACACCAAGAUACCCUGGCUUGAAGGAGUAAGACCUGGACCCUCAUCUUUGUUCUCACUGGUUCCUGGAUGCCUAAGAGGACACCUACACCCGACCACCGACUGUCCUCAGUGAAAAACCCCAGACCCCAAGCAAAGACGAGGCUCUCUCUUUUCCUUUGAAUCCCCCCGACACUGUCUGUGAUCGUACUCUCUCUGUACCUUCAAUAAACUCUGUUUUCGCCUCCUGCACGCCUCCUGCACGCAUCCAGGGACCCUCUUAAGUACCCCCUUAAGACUCUGGGUCCGCAGAACGGCCUGCCAGCAUCACCGGGAUGCCUUUUUACAUGCUCUUUAUAUUCUCUGUAUACUACACAAACGAAUCCAACUUGUAAAGAGCUAUACGAAUUAUAGAGUUCCCUUCAAUGGCUCAAUAAAUGGAGAACCCUGGCGCAGA